RNAcentral lists this unclassified non-coding RNA (142 nucleotides) under uncultured Acephala. Its description in RNAcentral is "partial internal transcribed spacer 2". Lineage: Eukaryota; Fungi; Ascomycota; Leotiomycetes; Helotiales. The record is from RNAcentral.
AACCACUCAAGCCUAGCUUGGUAUUGGGGCACGCGGUCUCGCGGCCCUUAAAAUCAGUGGCGGCGCCGGUGGGCUCUAAGCGUAGUACAUACUCCCGCUAUAGAGUUCCCUCGGUGGCUCGCCAGAACCCCUAAUUUUUACA